AUGGGGUUUCUGCAUGUUAGGGAUCUAUCAAAGAAUCAACUGACUGGCUCAUUACCAGACUUGGGGAGCUUGCGAAACCUUCGGUAUCUAUAUCUACAGUACAACUUGCUGGAAGGCGCUAUAUCACCAACCUUGGGUUCACUAGUGAAUCUUCGGCAACUGUAUCUCUACUUCAAUAGGUUAUCAGGCUCAAUUCCUGAUGAAUUGGGAAAUCUCAGCAAUCUUACUACAUUGGAUAUUUCUGAGAACCAGCUCACUGGUCCUCUUCCCAAAACACUUGGAAAUUUGAAAUCCCUCAGCGGCUUCUGGGCCACAGCCAAUUCCUUGAAUGAUAAAUUUCCGGACACUUAUGGGAACCUUACGAGUCUAAAAUAUUUUUCAAUAUCCGGGAAUUAUAUCUCUGGUCCAUUCCCAGUUGACAGCAUAAAGAACUGGACUAAUAUUGAAACUCUGUCACUCGUGGGAAACAAUUUCAAAGGAAAUUUGGCUAAAGAAGUAUUCAAUUUGCCAGAACUUCGGUAUCUGUAAGUG
Long non-coding RNA from Rosa chinensis, 531 nucleotides. RefSeq lists it as uncharacterized. The record is from RefSeq and is a predicted model, not a curated record. Lineage: Eukaryota; Viridiplantae; Streptophyta; Magnoliopsida; Rosales; Rosaceae. The transcript is spliced from 7 exons.